This 434-nucleotide ribosomal RNA is filed under the name uncultured Lachnospiraceae bacterium. Its description in RNAcentral is "partial 16S ribosomal RNA". It matches the Rfam family "Bacterial small subunit ribosomal RNA", at positions 341 to 792 of the family's 1533-position model. The record is from RNAcentral. Lineage: Bacteria; Bacillati; Bacillota; Clostridia; Lachnospirales; Lachnospiraceae.
ACGGAAGGCAGCAGUGGGGAAUAUUGCACGAUGGGCGAAAGCCUGAUGCAGCGACGCCGCGUGAGUGAAGAAGUAUCUCGGUAUGUAAAGCUCUAUCAGCAGGGAAGAAAAUGACGGUACCUGACUAAGAAGCCCCGGCUAACUACGUGCCAGCAGCCGCGGUAAUACGUAGGGGGCAAGCGUUAUCCGGAUUUACUGGGUGUAAAGGGAGCGUAGACGGUUUGGCAAGUCUGAAGUGAAAUGCGGGGGCUCAACUCCUGAACUGCUUUGGAAACUGUCGAACUAGAGUGCAGGAGAGGUAAGUGGAAUUCCUAGUGUAGCGGUGAAAUGCGUAGAUAUUAGGAGGAACACCAGUGGCGAAGGCGGCUUACUGGACUGUAACUGACGUUGAGGCUCGAAAGCGUGGGGAGCAAACAGGAUUAGAUACCCUGGUA